ACUCCUACGGGAGGCAGCAGUGGGGAAUAUUGCACAAUGGGCGCAAGCCUGAUGCAGCCAUGCCGCGUGUGUGAAGAAGGCCUUCGGGUUGUAAAGCACUUUCAGUUGUGAGGAAGGUGGUGUCGUUAAUAGCGGCAUCAUUUGACGUUAGCAACAGAAGAAGCACCGGCUAACUCCGUGCCAGCAGCCGCGGUAAUACGGAGGGUGCGAGCGUUAAUCGGAAUUACUGGGCGUAAAGCGCAUGCAGGUGGUUUGUUAAGUCAGAUGUGAAAGCCCGGGGCUCAACCUCGGAACUGCAUUUGAAACUGGCAGACUAGAGUACUGUAGAGGGGGGUAGAAUUUCAGGUGUAGCGGUGAAAUGCGUAGAGAUCUGAAGGAAUACCGGUGGCGAAGGCGGCCCCCUGGACAGAUACUGACACUCAGAUGCGAAAGCGUGGGGAGCAAACAGGAUUAGAUACCCUGUAGCACAGAG
This 472-nucleotide ribosomal RNA is filed under the name uncultured bacterium. RNAcentral's name for it is "bacterial SSU rRNA". It matches the Rfam family "Bacterial small subunit ribosomal RNA", at positions 335 to 799 of the family's 1533-position model. The record is from RNAcentral.